This 281-nucleotide unclassified non-coding RNA is filed under the name Lyomyces sp. Its description in RNAcentral is "partial contains 5.8S ribosomal RNA, internal transcribed spacer 2, and large subunit ribosomal RNA". The record is from RNAcentral. Lineage: Eukaryota; Fungi; Basidiomycota; Agaricomycetes; Hymenochaetales; Schizoporaceae.
CGCACCUUGCACUCCUUGGUAUUCCGAGGAGUAUGCCUGUUUGAGUGUCUUGUAAUCAUCAAUCUAACAUUGCUUUUGUGAUGCGUGAUUGGAUUUGGAGACUGCUGGUCUAACGACUGGCUUCUCUUGAAUGCAUUAGUAGAAUUGAGUUACGGCGCUACGUGUAGUGUGAUAAUAUCUUCACUGCAUAGUUGUAAUGAAGUUUUGCUUCUAACAGUCCUUCGUUGGACAAUACUUGACCAUUUGACCUCAAAUCAGGUAGGAUUACCCGCUGAACUUAA